AUAUAUCAACCUCUUCUAAGUUUUUUUGUCUUGCAGAGUGUAUGGAUGUGGGGGGAGUUAUUUUGUCUGGGCUUUCUUUAAGAGGUCAGCUCCCCUGAAAUGCAUUGGCAGAACAAUUUGCUGACCGUCCAUUGGUGUGAUAGCUAUCUACGCUAUUGACGUGAAGCAGUUCAGCUUAUAGCAGUCCAUUGACUUGGACAAUCUUUAUCAAU
This 212-nucleotide unclassified non-coding RNA is filed under the name uncultured Cortinarius. RNAcentral's name for it is "sequence contains ITS2". The record is from RNAcentral. Lineage: Eukaryota; Fungi; Basidiomycota; Agaricomycetes; Agaricales; Cortinariaceae.